This 425-nucleotide ribosomal RNA is filed under the name uncultured bacterium. RNAcentral's name for it is "bacterial SSU rRNA". It matches the Rfam family "Bacterial small subunit ribosomal RNA", at positions 358 to 774 of the family's 1533-position model. The record is from RNAcentral.
AGGAUCAUUCGCAAUGGGCGCAAGCCUGACGAUGCGACGCUGCGUGGAGGAUGAAGGGCUUCGGCUCGUAAACUCCUGUCAUGGGGGAAAAAGGUCCCCAUUGUCAACAACGAUGGGGCUUGAUGGUACUCCAAGAGGAAGCCACGGCUAACUCUGUGCCAGCAGCCGCGGUAAUACAGAGGUGGCGAGCGUUGUUCGGAUUUACUGGGCGUAAAGGGCGCGCGGGCGGCUUCGUGUGUCGGUUGUGAAAUCUCAGGGCUCAACCCUGAAAGUGCGGCCGAAACUGCGGAGCUUGAGCAAGGGAGAGGAAAGCGGAACUCAUGGUGUAGCGGUGUAAUGCGUUGAUAUCAUGAAGAACACCGGUGGCGAAGGCGGCUUUCUGGAACUUGGCUGACGCUUAGGCGCGAAAGUAGGGGGAGCAAACA